GUGUCGUGAGGGCGAGGUUUGCCGCGGCCCUCGUGCCGCCGAGGACAGGCGCCCAUCCGGUCGAUCCGGGUGCGUCUCCCGGUCGGUGCA
Molecule: transfer RNA, 90 nt
Filed under: Rhodococcus gordoniae
Lineage: Bacteria; Bacillati; Actinomycetota; Actinomycetes; Mycobacteriales; Nocardiaceae
Description: tRNA-Thr(cgt)
Source: RNAcentral